GCGCCCGAUCUCUUCUGAUCUCGGAAGCUA
RNAcentral lists this ribosomal RNA (30 nucleotides) under Bison bison bison. The record is from RNAcentral. Lineage: Eukaryota; Metazoa; Chordata; Mammalia; Artiodactyla; Bovidae.